GUAGGUGGCAAGCGUCGUCCGGGAAUUAUUGGGGCGUAAAGCGCGCGCAGGCGGUUCUUUAAGUCUGAUGUGAAAGCCCACGGGCUCAACCGUGGAGGGUCAUUGGAAACUGGAGAACUUGAGUACAGAAGAGGAAAGCGGAAUUCCACGUGUAGCGGUGAAAUGCGUAGAGAUGUGGAGGAACACCAGUGGCGAAGGCGGCUUCCUGGUCUGUAACUGACGCUGAGGCGCGAAAGCGUGGGGAGCAAACAGGAUUAGAUACCCUGGUAGUCCACGCCGUAAACGAUGAGUGCUAAGUGUUAGGGGGUUUCCGCCCCUUAGUGCUGCAGCUAACGCAUUAAGCACUCCGCCUGGGGAGUACGGCCGCAAAGGCUGA
This 376-nucleotide ribosomal RNA is filed under the name uncultured organism. RNAcentral's name for it is "partial 16S ribosomal RNA". It matches the Rfam family "Bacterial small subunit ribosomal RNA", at positions 527 to 897 of the family's 1533-position model. The record is from RNAcentral.